Molecule: ribosomal RNA, 1438 nt
Filed under: uncultured bacterium
Lineage: Bacteria
Description: bacterial SSU rRNA
Rfam family: Bacterial small subunit ribosomal RNA
Source: RNAcentral
AGGUUUGAUCAUGGCUCAGAACGUACGCUGGCGGCACGCCUAAUACAUGCAAGUCGAACGAAGUAGCAAUACUUAGUGGCAGACGGGUGAGUAACAUGUAGGUAUCUUCCCAUUGGUGAGGAAUAACACGAGGAAACUUGUGCUAAUACCUCAUAAGUCUUUACGGAGAAAGCUUUAUGCGCCGAUGGAUGAGCCUGCACUUGAUUAGUUUGUUGGUAGGGUAAUGGCCUACCAAGACAAUGAUCAAUAGCUGAUUUGAGAGGAUGAUCAGCCACAUUGGGACUGAGACACGGCCCAAACUCCUACGGGAGGCAGCAGUAGGGAAUCUUGCACAAUGGGGGAAACCCUGAUGCAGCGAUGCCGCGUGAGUGAAGAAGGCCUUUGGGUUGUAAAGCUCUUUCGUCGGGGAAGAAAAUGACUGUACCCGAAUAAGAAGGUCCGGCUAACUUCGUGCCAGCAGCCGCGGUAAUACGAAGGGACCUAGCGUAGUUCGGAAUUACUGGGCUUAAAGAGUUCGUAGGUGGUUAAAAAAGUUGGUGGUGAAAUCCCAGAGCUUAACUCUGGAACUGCCAUCAAAACUUUUUAGCUAGAGUAUGAUAGAGGAAAGCAGAAUUUCUAGUGUAGAGGUGAAAUUCGUAGAUAUUAGAAAGAAUACCGAUUGCGAAGGCAGCUUUCUGGAUCAUUACUGACACUGAGGAACGAAAGCAUGGGUAGCGAAGAGGAUUAGAUACCCUCGUAGUCCAUGCCGUAAACGAUGUGUGUUAGACGUUGGAAAUUUAUUUUCUGUGUCGCAGCGAAAGCAAUAAACACACCGCCUGGGGAGUACGACCGCAAGGUUAAAACUCAAAUGAAUUGACGGGGACCCGCACAAGUAGUGGAGCAUGUGGUUUAAUUCGAAGAUACGCGCAGAACCUUACCAACACUUGACAUGUUCGUCGCGACUUUAAGAGAUUAAAGUUUUCGGUUCGGCCGGACGAAACACAGGUGCUGCAUGGCUGUCGUCAGCUCGUGUCGUGAGAUGUUGGGUUAAGUCCCGCAACGAGCGCAACCCUCACUUUUAGUUGCCAUCAUUUAGUUGGGCACUCUGAAAGAACUGCCAGUGAUAAGCUGGAGGAAGGUGGGGAUGACGUCAAGUCCUCAUGGCCCUUACGUGUUGGGCUACACACGUGCUACAAUGGCAUUUACAAUAGGAAGCAAAACGGCGACGUUAAGCAAAUCCUAAAAAAAUGCCUCAGUUCGGAUUGUACUCUGCAACUCGAGUACAUGAAGCUGGAAUUACUAGUAAUCGCGGAUCAGCGCGCCGCGGUGAAUACGUUCCCGGGUCUUGUACACACCGCCCGUCACACCAUGGGAGUUGGUUCUACCUUAAGGCAAAGUUUAAUACCUUUGACCACGGUAUAGUCAGCGACUGGGGUGAAGUCGUAACAAGGUAGCCGUA